ACCUAAUCCUAAUUCUGUUUCAAUCUGAAAUUUUGUUUCUCUCUUCUUACUGUGGUGAAUCGCCUGGUCUCCAUCCACAAAAGGUUGCACUGAUCUUUGUCUAUCCACCAUCGCGAGUCUUCUCCGUCGAAUGCUCCUGCAUCUUCGUGUAUCAUCACCGUCAAGCGCUUCUACAACGUCGUUUUUUCAACUCUCGCAACCACAACCUCGAUCGAAUCUCGUAACUCUAGCUUUUUCAACUCGGUUUGACGUUUUUUAUUUCUAUAUCUAUUAUAGAGCUCGGUUGGUUGGUGAGUUAAUUCAAUAGGUAGGGUUUUUACUGAUUCUUACAUUGAUUAUAAACUUGGGUGAUUUUUGUAAACAAACUGUUUGUUGAAAUGCCACAAUGAGUUUAUUAGGUCGAUAUUGAGUAUACAGGUAGAGGGAUACCUAUAAGGAUACCUAAUCCCACACCUCGUUUGUAGUUAAGCUGAUAGUUGAGAGCUGCACCUAGGCAUAACUACUGCCAAACUAGUGGCCUCUUAAGGAUUACCCAUCACUAAAAUCUAGGAGUUUGAAGUUAGGUAGGGAAUGACAAUGUCUUUCUCCAGGGAAAUGUAAUCAUUUGGUGAUCCAAGUUGCCGAACAAAUCUGUUCGUGGAUGCUUGUGUUCUGGAAUAGGGUGACUUCAACCUUAUCUUCAGAAUGGGGAGUAGUUGGAGACUUUGGGGGAAACCAGGACAGACUGGACGAAUAGAACCAUUAGCUUCAGCCACGAUGUGUUACUUUCAAGUGAUUUGCAUGGGUGAUCAGAUUAAUACGAUACUGAUGCCAUGCUGAAAACUCCCUAUCCUUUGACUACAAAACAAGUAUUUGAGAGGGCUAGCAGUCGACAAAUGAACCUAUUACCAAAUGGGCCAUCAUGUAAAGGUCCAAGCGUGCCAUGGAAGCAACAAAGGAAGAUGAGGACGGCUGGUUUUUAUUAGUUUAUCCUUUCUGCCUUGAGGACAAGGCAACUUCGCGGGUAGAUGGUAAGUUUUUGGGUCCUGUUAGUUAUGAAAAAGGGACUACUUGUAAAUGACAAAUCGAAGAGAAUAUUAGUCAUGGAAUUUCUUCCGGCGUGAUUCAAUAACAUUAUGUCAUGGAAUUUCUUCUAGACAAAAUUGGGCAGCGUACUUUCAAAGAUAUAUUUGAUGGAUUGCAGAUUCAAAACCAUUAUUGACGAGCUGACUUCAGGUUUCUAAAGAUUUCUACAUAAUGCAUCAGUUUCGUAGUAAAGCAAGGUCGGUUUGAUCAUCCACAAAGGGAUAUAGGAAUCAAGAAAAGUCUGCACGUCAAUUUUGCUGAAGUUCUCGAUGAUGCCUGUUCCUGCAACGUUUGUGGCUUAGUCUGGCUUGAUGGGCAAUCGUUGUUAUAAAGCACCUGAACUUUUGAUGCGUUCUACCCAUUACUCAACUGCAUUUAAUAUCUGGUCGAUGGGCUGCAUAUUUGCGGAUAUGAUUAAGCUCAAACCUUUGUUCGUUGGUAAAGACGAACCUGAGAUAUUGGCUUAGAUAUUUUGUUUGCUUGGCGUGCCAACAGAAGAAUCCUGGCCUGGUGUGUCUUCUAUAUGCACAGUGCACCUUUAUUCAACAUCUUGAUCCUUCAAUGAUGCCAAAGGUUUCAUAUACAGUGGUGAUGAUAACUAUGACGACAAUUGGGAAGUUGCGGAGAGUACUGAAUUGGACGAAGCUUUCAACACUGCAACUGCUUUUUUUGCUGCCGCCACUGCCGAUCGUCUCUCUAAAUAGUUUUCCACUUUACAAUGACAUUCUUCUCCCCUAAAAAUGACCGCUCGUUCCAAAUGGAACAUCUGAAGCCUUUAUGCAUGCAGUUGCAACUUAGAGCCAACUCAAGCAAUCAAACGAUUCACUACUUGUAUUCUCUUUGAUUUUUGUAGUUCUGAAUGUCCUACUAAUAAAGCUAUAUGGGUCAAUUGGCUUGAUCAUGGCAAAUUCUCUUAGUAUCCUUUCUACCUAGUUAAAUCCUAUUAGUUCUACCAUGUUUUCUCAUGGACCACACUUGAUAAAUUGAAACUAUGACUUGUUUACUUAUUGGAUAGAUAAGAUUUUGCAUAUUUUGUUUGGGUCCCCUACUAAGAUUUGUUGCACUCUUAUUGUUCAGGUUUUGCAUUCCUUUGAAUUCUUACAAACUAUGCCGCCAAAAAUGUCCAAGAAGAAGAAUAUAUCUACUCAACAUGACGUUACUCAACCUUUGAAUUUUGAUUUGUACUUUUUUUUCAUUUUGACUUAGUUGACUAAUGAUUAGUAAUAUCUUGGUUAUUUGAAUCAAUUUUAGUAAUGUGAUUAUACAAUUACUUGUUACGUAACAGAUUUAACAAUUUAAA
Vicia villosa (hairy vetch) is the source of this 2365-nucleotide long non-coding RNA. RefSeq lists it as uncharacterized. NCBI's taxonomy places the organism in Eukaryota, Viridiplantae, Streptophyta, Magnoliopsida, Fabales, Fabaceae. The record is from RefSeq and is a predicted model, not a curated record. The transcript has 5 exons.